Molecule: long non-coding RNA, 623 nt
Organism: Aplysia californica (California sea hare)
Lineage: Eukaryota; Metazoa; Mollusca; Gastropoda; Aplysiida; Aplysiidae
Exons: 3
Source: RefSeq, a predicted model, not a curated record
GGGGAUGUAAAAGCAUGCCCGUUUGUGUCUCUCAUCGGAAGAGUACUAUCUCAGCUGUUGACAUUGACUUUCAGUUUAACGUUUAACCUUACUGAAGGAAGAGACACGGGGUUUUGGCUUUAUCCGCAAUUGAAAACAUCAGCUGAAAAGUUGAAAAACAUCGCAUUUUGAAUCUUGGAUUUACAGCAGUGAUUGAAAAUCAGCACAAUGAUUCGCCUACAAAGACCAACUGGUGGUGACGGUGAGGAUGAGAAAAAGAAAAUGGAAGAGGAGACCAAGAUGGCACGCCUAGUUACUCUCCAGAAUGUGGUUGGUUUUGCAGUUAUUUGUGGAUUAAUUCGUGCAGGUCCGUGGAUAGCCCAAAAUGUGUUCUAAUGUGAUUGCAUAUCAACAACCAGCCUACGCUGUCAUGUGGAGAAUGUGUGACAAAGCCUGCAGUGUCCAUCUAUCCCUGCAGAGGAGUUAAAAUGUGUGUGCGGUCUCUUGCCUUAUGUGUUGGCGGGGUGAAUGUUUGUCGGAGAGAUUAUGUCGUCAAGUUCCAUAGAUCGAUGUACAGCUGCUCCCAUUUGUACAUAGUCAAGGCAUCUCUGUUCCAAAGGAAUUAAACUUUAACAGAUCUCAGA